This 554-nucleotide ribosomal RNA is filed under the name uncultured bacterium. Its description in RNAcentral is "bacterial SSU rRNA". It matches the Rfam family "Bacterial small subunit ribosomal RNA", at positions 54 to 698 of the family's 1533-position model. The record is from RNAcentral.
CAUGCAAGUCGAACGAAGUGGCGGACGGGUGAGUAACGCGUGGGUAACCUGCCCUGUACAGGGGGAUAACAGUUAGAAAUGACUGCUAACACCGCAUAGUACAGGAUGGGCCCGCGUCUGAUUAGCCAGUUGGCAGGGUAACGGCCUACCAAAGCAACGAUCAGUAGCCGGCUUGAGAGAGUGAACGGCCACAUUGGGACUGAGACACGGCCCAAACUCCUACGGGAGGCAGCAGUGGGGAAUAUUGCACAAUGGGGGAAACCCUGAUGCAGCGACGCCGCGUGAGUGAAGAAGUAUUUCGGUAUGUAAAGCUCUAUCAGCAGGGAAGCGGUACCUGACUAAGAAGCCCCGGCUAACUACGUGCCAGCAGCCGCGGUAAUACGUAGGGGGCAAGCGUUAUCCGGAUUUACUGGGUGUAAAGGGUGCGUAGGUGGUCUGGCAAGUCAGAAGUGAAAACGCAGGGCUUAACCCUGCGACUGCUUUUGAAACUGUCAGACUGGAGUGCAGGAGAGGCAAGCGGAAUUCCUAGUGUAGCGGUGAAAUGCGUAGAUAUU